This is a non-coding RNA of Podarcis lilfordi (Lilford's wall lizard), 89 nucleotides long. The record is from the annotation of a GenBank genome assembly. Lineage: Eukaryota; Metazoa; Chordata; Lepidosauria; Squamata; Lacertidae.
GUUCUCAAGAUGCCAGGUUUCACUGUAAAACUCUCCGUAAAAUAUAAAUUUACGGAGAGUUUUACAGUAAAACCUGGCAUCUUGAGAAC